Molecule: ribosomal RNA, 450 nt
Filed under: uncultured Glomeromycotina
Lineage: Eukaryota; Fungi; Glomeromycota
Description: SSU rRNA
Rfam family: Eukaryotic small subunit ribosomal RNA
Source: RNAcentral
AGCAGCCGCGGUAAUUCCAGCUCCAAUAGCGUAUAUUAAAGUUGUUGCAGUUAAAAAGCUCGUAGUUGAAUUUCGGGAUCAAUAUAUUGGUCAUGCUUAGGUAUGUACUGGUAUUAUUGAUUUCUCCCUUCUGAAGAACCAUAAUGUCAUUAAUUUGAUGUCAUGGGGAAUCAGGACUGUUACUUUGAAAAAAUUAGAGUGUUUAAAGCAGGCUUUCGCUUGAAUACAUUAGCAUGGAAUAAUGAAAUAGGACGUUUGAUUCUAUUUUGUUGGUUUCUAGGAUCGACGUAAUGAUUAAUAGGGAUAGUUGGGGGCAUUAGUAUCCAAUUGUCAGAGGUGAAAUUCUUGGAUUUAUUGAAGACUAACUACUGCGAAAGCAUUUGCCAAGGAUGUUUUCAUUAAUCAAGAACGAAAGUUAGGGGAUCGAAGACGAUCAGAUACCGUCGUAGU